Molecule: long non-coding RNA, 1359 nt
Organism: Octopus bimaculoides (California two-spot octopus)
Lineage: Eukaryota; Metazoa; Mollusca; Cephalopoda; Octopoda; Octopodidae
Source: RefSeq, a predicted model, not a curated record
ACUGCUGUUGUUGCUGUUGUUUUUUGAUGAUCGAACAGACCUAUGACGUAACAUACUUCUAUUGUGACCAUCUCGUGUGUAUUUUCUUCAAGCAUAAGAACAUCAAGAAAUGCAUUAUCCAAUGUGUCCUGUAGAUUUUUUAAGGCUGUGAUAUAAGGAAUAUUUGGCUGUUAUUUCUAGCAUAAGGAGAAAAUGUUCUUCUUUUAUUGUCAGACACGAAUUUCAAGUGUAUAAGUACUUGAGUACUUAAAAGAACACAUCUGUGAAAAAUAACGAGUCUUUGAUUUUAUUCACUCUUAGAUUAUUAAAAUGAAAUGUCAAAUGGACAAAACUGAGCAUUUUCGACAUCAUUUGCUUUUUGCAUUUAAUUGAGGCGUUAAGGCGGCCGAAGCUGCUCGUGAGAUUUGUGAUGUGUUUGGAGGAGGAGUAAUGUCUCAAAGUAUCACCUGCUGUUGGUUUUCGUGCUUCAAAAAUGGGAAUUUUGACCUCAAGGACGGAUCACACACCGGUCGACCAACUGAGUUCGAUGAAGAGCGAUUGAAUCAACUUCUUCACGAAAAUCCUCGUCAAACGACCAAAGAAUUGGCGGAGGGAAUGGAUUGUGAUAGAACUACCGUCACCCAAUGGGCAAGGUUCAGAAACUCGGCACUUGGGUGCCACACACACUUUGAGCGAAAACAACAAACAUUAAAGCUCCACAAUCGCCGCCAAUGUUUUCUUUACCGCAUUGUCACUGGCAAUGAAAAAUAGUACCUUUACGUUAAUAUGAAACAGCGAAAAGAAUGACUGAGCCCCGACAAACAAGCGACUCCGCGAGCAAAACAAGGCCUUCAUUCUCGAAAGACUAUGUUGUGUGUAUGGUGAGACUGGGAAGGUACAAUUCAUUACGAACUUCUUGAGCGCAACCAAACAUUCAGUACGGAACUCUACGUUCAACAACUGCACCGACUCAACGAAGCAAUUCAGCAAAAAAGACCGGAUAGGCGAAAUGGCGUUCUUUUACAACACAACAACGCCCGUCCUCACACCGUCAAUAUGACCAAAGUCGCGAUUCAAGAACUGGAAUGGGAAGUGCUGCCUCAACCUCUAUACUCUCCAGACUUGGCACCGUCAGAUUUUCAUCUCUUUCGACUGCUUUCGAACUCUUUGCGUGGUGUAUCGUGGAAUCGAGGACUUGGUUGGACAAAUUCUUUGAGUCAAGACCGGGAGAUCUCUAUCGAAAAACUUAUUGAACAUUGAAACAUUAAAAAACAUACUGAACGAUAGAAGGAAGUCGUAAACAACAACGGAGAGUAUAUUAUUGAUUAAUUUAUUGUAGUUUUUUUGGUUUAAAAUAAAUUUGAGAAAAACGCUCAUGAA